CUCCGACAGGAGCACUAGGUCGACUGCUCCGUGCCAUAGUUGGGUCAAGGUUGACACUGUAGGCGACAAACGUCUUCCUGGGCGCCCCAAAGCUGACACCCGAAAAUCCCUGCGGUUUUUCUACCCUGGAUACCGCCGAUCCCCUUGCGCUCACCCGUUUCUCCCCGGGGCCUGACCCGGCCCGCUGGCCCCGCCCAUUCGCAAUGGCGCUCUCGGCACAACCAUGCUAGCCAGCAACGCCCCGGAAUCUCCCUCCGCCGACGCCCCGCACCCGAGCCCAGAGGGAGACGGCCUUCGCCUGCCACCCACGACAGCUGUCCCGCCACCGGGAGCAGGGCCUGGGAGGGCUUGAGUACCCUAGUCCCUGAGUCCAGGAUCAGGGCGGAGGACCAGAAACUCGGGCUCCGUGGACUCAGCUUGCUGGGCAGAAAGUGACUUAAAUUCCGGGGCUGGCGCUUUUCAGGAUCCUCCAAUCCGGGCACCCUGUGCCAGGUACUGUGCGGAGGAGGGGGAGGGAAGAGGGGUUUCCCCAAUUUACGAUGAGGAACUUGGGGCUCAGAGAGGGACAGAACUUGUCUAAUUGCACCCAGCAGUUGGUGACAGAGGCACGAUUCCACCCCAAUUCCACAAAGGCCUGAGGUACUUACCCUGUAUCUGUACUGGAGAAGUCAGUCUCUGGGGCUCAGAAACAUAAACAGCCAAGGGAGAGUGAGGUCCCCGGAACUCCACGAUGGGGAGGCUCACCUCAGCAGCAGCAGGGCCCACUCCUCCCGACCGGGGAAACGGAUUUGCUGAGCAUCGCCCUCGGAGAGCUGUGCAGUGAGGCCAAGCUCGCAGGCACAGAGAAAGCUGCCUUGAGUGGAGCCAGACAGGAGAGAGGUGGACAGUGGGUAGGCACUGGAAACUCACCUGUUAGGUCCAUGGCGUCGUCAGAUGUGAAGAAUAAAGCCAUAGAGAGGACACCUCUCUCUCUUGCUGUGGCCACCAGUGAAGAUGGUCACACGGGUCAGCUGCAGCCAGCAAGGGAAGCCCCGAUUCCAGGCAUCCAAACCUGGCAACGUUCUGAUUAGCAGCUGGGUGUCUCACUGCCUGGAAUGCAGGCGCUUGGGGUCCGGGCCUCAGCUGUUCUGCUGCCACUGGAACACACCAGGUGCUCAGCAAGAUGGGAACAGGAGCAACAACUCUCACACCUGCAGGCCCCGGGCUACCACACCACCUGUUCAGGAGACAGCCCGAUCUGGAGGGUAUGGCUUCCCUCUAACCAGAGGAAAGCCAAGACAGGGCUGGCUGAGAGCCAGCGUUCUCAUUAGCCCUCACCUUGCUGACUGCCCUGACACCGGAGGGAAGCCAGGCAGAGGCCAUGAAGCUGCCAGGCUGUUGGAGCCAACCCAACCACCCAGUGGCCCAACUCCGGGUCAGGAAACAGCCACUGUCCUGAGGGCUGUGCCCAGACGAAGGAACAGACAGUAUAUUGCUGCGUGAUUUUAUUACUAUAAAUAUACAGUAAAAACAAACGGGCCCAUGUGAGCACAUCAAAUGGCA
Long non-coding RNA from Sapajus apella (tufted capuchin), 1542 nucleotides. RefSeq lists it as uncharacterized. NCBI's taxonomy places the organism in Eukaryota, Metazoa, Chordata, Mammalia, Primates, Cebidae. The record is from RefSeq and is a predicted model, not a curated record. The transcript is spliced from 2 exons.